AACGAACGCUGGCGGCAUGCCUAACACAUGCAAGUCGAACGAGAUCCUUCGGGGUCUAGUGGCGCACGGGUGCGUAACGCGUGGGAAUCUGCCCUUAGGUUCGGAAUAACAGUUAGAAAUGACUGCUAAUACCGGAUGAUGACGUUAAGUCCAAAGAUUUAUCGCCUGAGGAUGAGCCCGCGUAGGAUUAGCUAGUUGGUGUGGUAAAGGCGCACCAAGGCGACGAUCCUUAGCUGGUCUGAGAGGAUGAUCAGCCACACUGGGACUGAGACACGGCCCAGACUCCUACGGGAGGCAGCAGGGGGAAUAUUGGACAAUGGGCGCAAGCCUGAUCCAGCAAUGCCGCGUGAGUGAUGAAGGCCUUAGGGUUGUAAAGCUCUUUUACCCGGGAUGAUAAUGACAGUACCGGGAGAAUAAGCCCCGGCUAACUCCGUG
RNAcentral lists this ribosomal RNA (435 nucleotides) under uncultured bacterium. RNAcentral's name for it is "partial 16S ribosomal RNA". It matches the Rfam family "Bacterial small subunit ribosomal RNA", at positions 29 to 507 of the family's 1533-position model. The record is from RNAcentral.